AGAGUGAACGCUGGCGGUAGGCCUAACACAUGCAAGUCGAACGGCAGCACAGUGGUAGCAAUACCAUGGGUGGCGAGUGGCGGACGGGUGAGGAAUACAUCGGAAUCUACCUUUUCGUGGGGGAUAACGUAGGGAAACUUACGCUAAUACCGCAUACGCCCUUUGGGGGAAAGCCGGGGAUCGCAAGACCUGGCGCGGAUAGAUGAGCCGAUGUCGGAUUAGCUAGUUGGUAGAGGUAAUGGCUCACCAAGGCGACGAUCCGUAGCUGGUCUGAGAGGAUGAUCAGCCAC
This 290-nucleotide ribosomal RNA is filed under the name uncultured soil bacterium. RNAcentral's name for it is "partial 16S ribosomal RNA". It matches the Rfam family "Bacterial small subunit ribosomal RNA", at positions 26 to 311 of the family's 1533-position model. The record is from RNAcentral.